CAGCAGAGCAGACGUCGCAGC
This 21-nucleotide microRNA is filed under the name Hippoglossus hippoglossus (Atlantic halibut). RNAcentral's name for it is "hhi-miR-7789". The record is from miRBase by way of RNAcentral. Lineage: Eukaryota; Metazoa; Chordata; Actinopteri; Pleuronectiformes; Pleuronectidae.